Molecule: ribosomal RNA, 480 nt
Filed under: uncultured bacterium
Lineage: Bacteria
Description: partial 16S ribosomal RNA
Rfam family: Bacterial small subunit ribosomal RNA
Source: RNAcentral
GACGAACGCUGGCGGCGUGCUUAACACAUGCAAGUCGAACGAUGAAGUUCCUUCGGGAAUGGAUUAGUGGCGAACGGGUGAGAAACACGUGAGAAACCUGCCUUUCAUUUUGGGAUAACUCCGGGAAACCGGAGCUAACACCGAAUACUCCGUCUCGGCGGCAUCGCUGAGCCGGGAAAAAAUUUUGAUGAAAGAUGGUCUCGCGGCCUAUCAGCUAGUUGGUGAGGUAAUGGCUCACCAAGGCGACGACGGGUAGCCGGCCUGAGAGGGCGACCGGCCACACUGGGACUGAGACACGGCCCAGACUCCUACGGGAGGCAGCAGUGGGGAAUAUUGGGCAAUGGGCGCAAGCCUGACUCAGCGACGCCGCGUGAGGGAUGAAGGCCUUCGGGUUGUAAACCUCUUUCAGUAGGGAAGAAGCGAAAGUGACGGUACCUAAAAAAGAAGCACCGGCUAACUAUGUGCCAGCCGCCGCAGUAA